This 971-nucleotide long non-coding RNA is filed under the name Monodelphis domestica (gray short-tailed opossum). RNAcentral's name for it is "lncRNA (ENSMODG00000038254.1)". The record is from RNAcentral. Lineage: Eukaryota; Metazoa; Chordata; Mammalia; Didelphimorphia; Didelphidae.
GCGAUUCAUUCUGCAAGGCACUUUACAAAGAUACAUUCAGCAUUGUUGAGUUGGGCUGAAGAAGAAUUCUGCACUGCAUAGAUUUGGCGUGUGACUCGAGUUGAAGGAAAAGGCUUAUGCUGGUGAGACUUGUUGAAGAGGCUACAGGACUUCCAUGUCCAGACUGGAAAUCCUGGUUUGCUCUGGGCCCAUAUGGAUCAGCCCACUUCAGUCCAGACUGCCCUGGACUUGGACUCCAAACUUCUCCACAGGAGCUGGCAUACGCUUCCCCAGGUUGCAACGCCAAUAAGUUCAAGCAAGCACAUCAAAUGUCAAGCAAACAUCGAAUACUGCAACAAUUUUUUCCUCAUUGAAAUGUGUUGAAUACUAAAUUUGAUGAGUUCUGAAACCCUGUAUGCAGAAGUGAAGGACAAUCUGGAAGAAGAGAAGCAAAAAGGAACAACAUUACUUAAAAAUAUGAUUUCCAUGCAAGCAAAACAUGAUCUCAAAGAUGGACUACAUGGAGAGAGUAUAAAAAUUAUUGAUCUCCCAGAAGAAAGCAGUGGAUCCCAAAAUGUGAAUAUGACAAUGCAAGAACUAACAUAAGAAAACUGCCUGGGAUUUCUGAAUGCUGAAAACAAAGUACCAAUUACUAGGAUCCACAGAUCAUCUCAUCUCUAAACAAAUGUGGUAGUGGUGGGAAAUCUAUGCUUCAAAAAUCUAAGAAAAAUACUGGUUAAAUUCAGUAAUUCCACUUGGAAACAAUGAAUUCUUCAAAAGACCAGGGGAAAUACCUUCAAACAUAAAGAAAAGGAAAUUUGAAUAACAUCUAUUCUGUACCUAUCAGAAACUGAAGGAGGGCACAGAAUAAUGUAACUCAGUAGAGAAAAGGAGCUUAAGAUACAAACCAAGUUUAUCUAUCUUGUGUAUCUAAGCCUAAGCAUUAAGACAAAAAAUAUGUAUGUUCAAUAAAAAGAGAAGUAUCAGAAACA